Molecule: ribosomal RNA, 497 nt
Filed under: uncultured bacterium
Lineage: Bacteria
Description: partial 16S ribosomal RNA
Rfam family: Bacterial small subunit ribosomal RNA
Source: RNAcentral
GAUGAACGCUGGCGGCGUGCCUAAUACAUGCAAGUCGAGCGAACAGAUAAGGAGCUUGCUCCUUUGACGUUAGCGGCGGACGGGUGAGUAACACGUGGGUAACCUACCUAUAAGACUGGGAUAACUUCGGGAAACCGGAGCUAAUACCGGAUAAUAUUUCGAACCGCAUGGUUCGAUAGUGAAAGAUGGUUUUGCUAUCACUUAUAGAUGGACCCGCGCCGUAUUAGCUAGUUGGUAAGGUAACGGCUUACCAAGGCGACGAUACGUAGCCGACCUGAGAGGGUGAUCGGCCACACUGGAACUGAGACACGGUCCAGACUCCUACGGGAGGCAGCAGUAGGGAAUCUGCCGCAAUGGGCGAAAGCCUGACGGAGCAACGCCGCGUGAGUGAUGAAGGUCUUCGGAUCGUAAAACUCUGUUAUUAGGGAAGAACAUACGUGUAAGUAACUGUGCACGUCUUGACGGUACCUAAUCAGAAAGCCACGGCUAACUACGUG